Molecule: long non-coding RNA, 1703 nt
Organism: Symphalangus syndactylus (siamang)
Lineage: Eukaryota; Metazoa; Chordata; Mammalia; Primates; Hylobatidae
Source: RefSeq, a predicted model, not a curated record
AACGUCUGUUUGGUACAAUCUGGUUCACAUCAUAAUGGUUCUUUUGCCAACAGGAGCUGGUAAUCAGGAUGACAGUGAGGCAGGCACUUGCUUGCAGAAGAACAGGCCUAGGUUUUUAAGAAGCCACCAAAGUGUCUUUGGAUGAUUAGGAUCUAAGGGGCCAACAGCUUUGCAAUAACAGCAUAAAUAUUGUGGGCUGGAUGGACAGGCACCAAAUGGGGACAUUCCAUCCUGCUGUGUGAUGAGAAAGCUGCCACUUUUGAGGCCUUCCAAAACAAAUAAACACUCCAUAUGCCAGAGGAAAAGCCCAGGAAAGACCUAUUCCAACUGGAGAUGGUGAAUGUUACUUCUUCAAGAAGCUGAGAUCCAGCUGGUACUGCCAGGUGGAGAGAAUAUGAAGGGAGAAUGAAACAAAACUGCUCCGCUCAGGGAACUUGGAAAGGAAAUUGAAAGGGCAAGGCACAGGCUGGAAGAAAAUAUUUGAAAAAGAUUUAUGUGACAAAGAACUUCUUUCUGGAUUAUACAAAAUAUUUUUAGAUAUUCUUACAACUCUAAAAUAAGAUAACUCCUUAAAAAUGUGAAUUCUACCAAAGGAGAGAUAAAGAUGACAAAUACAUUCAAAGAUGCUGAAAAUCACUUAUUUAUUAUUAGGAAGUUACAAGCUAAAGCAUAAUGAGAUACCACUACAACCUACUAAACUGACUAAAAUUAAUCAGACUAACCAGGUGUUGGCAAGAAACAGGGACACUGAGACUCUCACACUGCUGGAAGGAAUGUAAAAUGUUAAAACUUCUUUGGAAACAAGUUCAGUGACUUUUUAAACAGUUGAAAAUAGACCUAUCAUGCAAACCAGCAAUCCCACUUCUAGGUAUUUAUCCAAGGAAAAUGACAACAUAUGCCCACACAAAGACUUGUGCACAAAUGACCGUAGCAGCUUUGUGGUAAUUGCUAAAAACUAGAAACUUGUCAAGUGUCCAACAGCUAAGGAAAUUGAGACAAACUACAUAAGUUGCUGAAAAAUCACAGCAAAUAAUUAGCUGACGAAGAGACUCAAAUCUAUCAGAACUGCUUGACUUUUGAUCCUGAGCUUAUGCGCAUCCAGUGGGCAAGUGAGGGUGCAUGGGUUUGUGAAGACUCCAGCAGUAUGAUUGGGGGUACAGGGUGAACUCCGAGACCAUCUCUCCUAUUCAUUUACAUCCUCGGAACUUAGCACGACAUCUGACUAUAGUGGAUUUUCAAUAAACAACUAUGGGGUGGAGGCAUGGGGCACUAAUGCAGGAAUCACCACACCUACUUAGAAAGAAGGCAUUUACCUAAUUGCAAAGGAACACAUCCUGCCUGCAGACAAUAAAUGGUAUGUGAUGCUUCCAUGAAGUGAGAUGGAUGGAGCUCUCCGUUGCUAACUGGCCCGUAACCACGGUCAUUAAUCACACACGGCACGCCCAUUGCCAGUAAUGGACUUCACCCCAGAAAACUCCAACUCGUGGUGCCAACGGGUUAAAGGGAAGGCCUCGCCUCUUAUGGAAAUAUGGGUGUCCCUUCGGGAUUAACCCUGGCAUUUGCCACCCCUCAUCCACUGAAAAGCCCUUUUAAUUGAUUUUUCUUCCUAUUCCCUCCAAUCUGUCAAGAAUUCACUUGCCAGCCUCUGCAUGGACCCAGAGACACUGCCUGAACUAUAUGAAUUGCUAAGAAGCUGUUAGUCU